Long non-coding RNA from Equus caballus (horse), 3920 nucleotides. RefSeq lists it as uncharacterized. The record is from RefSeq and is a predicted model, not a curated record. NCBI's taxonomy places the organism in Eukaryota, Metazoa, Chordata, Mammalia, Perissodactyla, Equidae.
ACCAUGCUGGGAAGAGAGAACACUGGGUCAGAUGCGGAGCACUGAGGAUAAUUGAUUAGUGUAUAAACACCAUCUAUAGCUCCUGUUGUGCAACCAAGACUUAACUAACUUUGUGGGGAGGAUGGACAGUGUGCUCCAGGAUUGCACACCUCAGCAGCACCCCUUUGUGGAGAGGAUUUGGUAGAAUCUGCAUUUGAAUUGAGUGUUUAGGGUUUGUGUGCUUUCGCCCUGAGGCUGUGCCCCAACGACUGGGACAUCCACCACCCCAGGAACUCGUCCUUGUUCCUGAAAACCCCUGACACUGCUCCCCGGCAGGCGCCUGGAUGCCCUUUCCAUCCUGGCCCACAGUGUCUUCUUUCCGUCUUACCCAUACUCUCACUUUUUUUCUACCUGCUACGCGGAGCCCUGGCAGACUCCAGGUGUCUGGUCCUUCGUCUUUCCCUACCUGUCAACCCUGUGGACCUCCCUUUCUUCCUGACACGAGGUGCAUCCUGUGUUGAUUAUCUCUUGCUCUCUCACCAGCCCCCACUCCUCUUUCCUCUGCCUCUCUAGCAACCUCCACCCUUAAAUCCUCUGUUCAGCCCCUGUCCGCCACCGCGCCGCUCUCUGCAGAUGACCUGGCCUCUGACUUUAUGUAGAAAAUUAAGUUCACUGGUGAGAUAUUGCUUAAUUCCUGACAGUUCACAUCCACAUCCUCCAGUUUCGGAGGGCGCCAUGUGCUAUUUAUGUCCAAGGCCAAACUGCCCUGCAGCCAACUCCUUUUGCCUUUUCUUGGACUUGAUUCAUCCUUUUUUUCUCUCUCUCUCUUGCCUGGAUUUUUGAUUUCUUACUGUCCUCUUCCUCUCUAUCAACAAAACAUACUCAAACUUCUCCCACUCUAAAAUAAGCCUACUCUGACCCUUCAUUCCUGCCUAGCUACUGUCCGCCCUUUCCUCCUUAAACUUCGAAAAGGUCAGUUUAGACUCCCAGAGCCCCCCUUUCUCACCUCCCAGUCCCCUUCUCCCUAUGCCGGAAGCCAAGGUUCCCAGGAACCUCCUUGUGGUUACAGGAGACUUUCUGUAGCUGCCUGGAACUAGAAGUUUCUGUAGGCCCAUAGAGGCAGUGUCUGCUGGCUAUGCCCCCUAGGUGUCCCACAGGCACUGCAAACUUCUGGCUACUUACUCGUAAGCCUGUCUUUCUUGUUCCCAGCCUCUUUUGGUGGCAUCACCAGCCACUCCGCCUCCCAAUCCGGAAACCUGUGAGUUAUCCUUAGGGACUGUCCUUUCCUGAUCCCACAUUCCCUUUUAAUUACCAAGUCUAGUUGGUUAUCCCCCUUAAAUAUUUCUCGAGUCCAGUGGUUCUCAAAUUUCACUUGCGUCAGAAUCACCUGGAGGGCUUGUGAAACAUCGUUUACCGGGGGCCACCGCCAGAGUGUCCGACUCAGGAAGUCUGCAUUUCUGAUGUGCUCCCACGUGGUGCUGAUGCUGUGGAUCCAGGGACCAGGCUUUUUUUUUAGUAAAUAACUUCACUGAGGUAAAAUUUACCCAUUUUAAGUGUACAAUUCAAUAAUUUUUCAUAAUUUGUCAAGUGUGCAACCAUCACCAUUUUAAAUCCAGUUUUAGAACACUGCCAUCAACCCAAUAAGAUCCUUCAUGCCAUUUACGGUUAUCCCAUUUCUAACCCCAAUCCCAGGAAAUCACUAACCUAUUUUGUGCCUUAAUAGACUUAGCAUUUCUGGACAUUUCAUCUAGAUGGAAUCGUACAAUAUGAGUCUUCUGUAUCUGACUUCUUUCACUGGGCAUAAUGUUCAUGAGGUUUAUGCGUGUUAUAGCAAGUGUCAGUAUAUUGUUUCUUUUAUUGCCAAUUAGUGUUCUAUUGUGUGGAUGUGGGGACCACCCUGUGAGAAUCACCGCUCCGGUUCAGCUGUCCGCUGCCCUCGCUCGGGCCCUCACCAUCUCUCUCCUGCACAGCUGGUUUUCCGACCUCUUGCUUGGAUUGUCCUGCCUCGGCACACAACUUUGACAUGUCCAGCAGCAGUGCUUCCAGAUGCACAUCUGAUUGUGUCACUUGCCUGGUUAAACAUUCUUCAACGUGUGUCUGAUGCCAUCACUGUCCUGUAACACGAAGCUCCCACUUCUCACCCUGCGACCCUCACUGGAGAGCCUCUCCAGCUUCCCCUCUCCUCACUCCCUGCCUUGAACUUUGUGCUUCAGGAGCGCUGAGCUGUUUGUAAACCCUCUCCCUCCCCAAACGUCGUGCUGCUUUCCUCCUCCAGCCCUCGGCUCUAGCUGUCCCUUGGCCUGGAAUGUCCCUCUGCCUCCUCCCUUCCUUUGCUUCAGUAAUAUCUCCUCAUCAUUUGAGAUUUCUCAUGGGUACCGCCUUCUCCCAAAGUCCUUCCUACAUCCCAGGCUGGGUUGGGACUUCCUAUACUUUACUUCCAAAACCCUCUAUGCCCUUCCCAAUUAUUUUACUAUAGCACUGUGUUAAAAUUAUCUGUGUAUUUUUUUGACUUGCCCACCAGGCUGUGGGAUGUGUGUUAUUGCAGCUGGAUGCUCUGCACCCAGCCCAGUAUCUGCACAUAGUAGGUGCUUAUUAACUGUUUGUUGAAUGAACAAGGCAGGAGCGAUUGAUGGAUGUCCCCAGCACCUCUUCUGCCCUACUUGCUCAGGCCCUGCUGUCAACUGGUACUCUUAAGCUGUUACUGUGCUCAGGCCUUUUAAGGCAAUCACUAAGUCUUUCCACAUGGGCAAAAUAAUGCUCUAAAAGGCGACAAGCCAAGUGAUUCAGGGCUUUUUGUUUUUUGGCCACAUUAUUUUCUGCUUCACACUUAGAACUCUUUUUGGCAUAGUGGAAGUUCUGAGGGAAAAGCAGGCACUGGGAAAAUUAUUGCCCAUAAAUGACCUGAUGUCAGCAACAGCUGAUUCCCACUGUGGGCUGCGGGGUGUAGGAGAAGCCACUGGGCAGAGCUAGCCGACAGCACAGGUAACACAUGCAGACGAUACUACAUGAUUGACAUCUAACCAGGUGUCAGCAGCAGGCACGCUGGAGUGCCUGUUUGGGGCAAAGUGUGAAUGCUGACUCUGUGCAGGCGUGUGACAUGGGAACCCCCACACAGCUGGGCUCAAGGAGUUUGUUUCCUGCGAGAGGACCUCCCCUCCACGCUUCUAACAGAUCAAAGAGAAUUUAAAGUUAAAUACGUGGUUCACAUCAGAUUUCUAUCGGACAUGCUGGUGGCUGUGCCUUUCAGUUGUUAUCAGUGACCAUGACCUAUGAUUGACUCCACAAAGAUAGAAGAGCAAUUUUCGGGGUCCCCGGAUGUCUCGGGGUGAAGCUGCUCAUCUAGGAUCAGCUGUCCCUGCGGGCCUCUGUCCUGCUCUGCUCCUCAGCCUCUCACCACCCCCGCCUGAGCUUCCAGAGAUGGAAAAUUGAGCCAGAGAAAUGGAUGUCACUACACGGUUCAGAGGGCUCACGCCUGACACGGUGAGGAUGUGAGCAGUUUCACUGACGUGUUCUUGUUUAAACUGUUACAAGGGACAGGGGAAGGAAGUGAAAAAUGUGUUUUAGCACAUAGAAAAUUCUGGGGAACUGUGAAAACCUCAUUUUAGAUAGUAUCAACCAGGAGCUUAUGCUUCAGCCUGCCCCUACAGUAUUUUAUCAAGAUAAAAUGAUGUGGGUGGACCAUCUUCCCUGUGGUCCACGGAGCACAUCCCCCAGUGAUUUCCUCACCCACGGCCAGCUGAGGCAGCGUGCACCCCAGACGCUCAGCAAUCGGGCACAGAUCUUUCAGCUUGUUUUGCUGUUUCCUCCCUUCUUCACUUACGAUUCUUUCCUUCAACCACUGGUAGCACUAGGAAUAAGAAGAAUAUUGACAUGUUAAUGCCUGCUAAGUGUUUGAUGUCAAAGAUUAUUAAUGCAAUAAAAUAUAAGAAUCUUACGGUGAA